UACGGAGGGUGCAAGCGUUGCUCGGAAUCACUGGGGCGCAAAAGCGCACGCAGGCGGCUAUUCAAGUCGGAUGUGAAAGCCCCCGGGCUCAACCCCGGGGAACUGCAUUCGAAAACUGGAUGGCUUGAGUUCGAGAGAGGGGUGGUGGAAUUCCUGGUGUAGAGGUGAAAUUCGUUGAUAUCAGGAGGAACAUCGGCGGCGAAGGCGGCCACCUGGCUCGAUACUGACGCUCAUGUGCGAAAGCGUGGGGAGCAAACAGGAUUAGAUACCCGCGUAGUCC
RNAcentral lists this ribosomal RNA (280 nucleotides) under uncultured bacterium. Its description in RNAcentral is "partial 16S ribosomal RNA". It matches the Rfam family "Bacterial small subunit ribosomal RNA", at positions 524 to 796 of the family's 1533-position model. The record is from RNAcentral.